This 72-nucleotide microRNA precursor is filed under the name Bombyx mori (domestic silkworm). Its description in RNAcentral is "mir-2807 microRNA precursor family". It matches the Rfam family "mir-2807 microRNA precursor family". The record is from Rfam by way of RNAcentral. Lineage: Eukaryota; Metazoa; Arthropoda; Insecta; Lepidoptera; Bombycidae.
UUAACUCAAAUUUGUAUGGAGUUGGAAUGUUUGCUGCUAGGGACGCUGUUCCAACUGCAUACAAAUGCGUUA